CUUGGUCAUUUAGAGGAAGUAAAAGUCGUAACAAGGUUUUCCAUGGAUUAUCAUUCUUGGAAUAUGAUCCUCCGUGGGCACACUUGCUGAAACCUUAGUGAGGUAUUUUUCUAAUAUGCUCUGUUCCGCGACUCUAAACAAUGGAUAUCGCUGGCCUCUUCCCUUUUAACGGGGAGAGGUAACACUGGUUCAAUGUGGGACUGUCUGGCGGAUUUUAAUUCGCCUGGACUAUCCACAGUCACGCGUAUAACUACAGUUAAUAACUACAGUUAUCCGUGGCCUACAGACUAAGCCCCAGUGGACGUAAUAUCACCAAUUACGUUUUAGAUAUAGUCGAGCUCCCUCUAUUACUUUAGGGAAGUGCCACUCGUUUGGUAUACUUGCGUUCCGUAGGUGAACCUGCGGAAGGAUCAUU
RNAcentral lists this ribosomal RNA (415 nucleotides) under fungal sp. gbM18. RNAcentral describes it as "partial 18S ribosomal RNA". Lineage: Eukaryota; Fungi. The record is from RNAcentral.